CUCGCGCGAUCAGGAGAGCGCUCCCCCGUGGAGCCGCCGAAGGCGCAGGCGGUCGUUGCAACGGCCCUGAACGCUCAGGCAAAAGGACUGAUGACCACCA
This 100-nucleotide non-coding RNA is filed under the name Hydrogenophaga sp. H7. Its description in RNAcentral is "Glycine riboswitch aptamer". It matches the Rfam family "Glycine riboswitch aptamer". From Rfam's summary of the family: This family represents the bacterial glycine riboswitch. Glycine riboswitches usually consist of two metabolite-binding aptamers domains with similar structures in tandem. The record is from Rfam by way of RNAcentral. Lineage: Bacteria; Pseudomonadati; Pseudomonadota; Betaproteobacteria; Burkholderiales; Comamonadaceae. RNAcentral also lists the same sequence under 1 other name.